UGUCCCCUGCGAUGUUCGCCAAGGCCCGGAGAUUCUUGAACCAACAGCUUGAGUCCUGGUCGCGACCCACAGCGUCGCUGUUGCGCGCGUCCCUAGUCGGACGUACCUGAUGUGACCGGAACGCGACCGCCUUGAACCACGAGGUUCAGGAUCAAGGUCUGACGGCAUCAGCGGGGGGCGC
Betaproteobacteria bacterium is the source of this 181-nucleotide non-coding RNA. The record is from Rfam. Lineage: Bacteria; Pseudomonadati; Pseudomonadota; Betaproteobacteria.